This 437-nucleotide ribosomal RNA is filed under the name uncultured bacterium. Its description in RNAcentral is "partial 16S ribosomal RNA". It matches the Rfam family "Bacterial small subunit ribosomal RNA", at positions 28 to 507 of the family's 1533-position model. The record is from RNAcentral.
GAUGAACGCUGGCGGCAUGCCUAACACAUGCAAGUCGGACGGGAAGACGUGUUUCCAGUGCCGGACGGGUGAGCAACGCGUAAGAACCUGACCUUUGGAUGGGAACAACAUCUGGCAACGGCUGCUAAUACCCCGUAGGCCGAGUAGCAAAAGAUGGAAUCCGCCCGAGGAGGGGCUUGCGUCUGAUUAGCUAGUUGGUGAGGCAAUAGCUUACCAAGGCGAUGAUCAGUAGCUGGUGGGAGAGGAUGAUCCGCCACACUGGUACUGAGACACGGCGUAGAGUACUACGGGAGGUGGGAGUGAGGAAGAUUCCGCAAUGGGGGGUGGGCGGAGAGGGCAUUGGGGUGGGAAAGUAGAAGGCUCAGGGAUGGAGAACUGCUUUUCAAGGAGAAGAAGCAAUGACGGUAUCUGGGGAAUAAGCAUCGGCUAACUCUGUG